Molecule: ribosomal RNA, 356 nt
Filed under: uncultured Glomeraceae
Lineage: Eukaryota; Fungi; Glomeromycota; Glomeromycetes; Glomerales; Glomeraceae
Description: SSU rRNA
Rfam family: Eukaryotic small subunit ribosomal RNA
Source: RNAcentral
AGCAGCCGCGGUAAUUCCAGCUCCAAUAGCGUAUAUUAACGUUGUUGCAGUUAAAAAGCUCGUAGUUGAAUUUCGGGAUCAGUGCGCUGGUCGUGCCACUGGUAUGUACUGGUCUUACUGGCUCCUCCUUCCUGAUGAACCGUAAUGCCAUUAAUUUGGUGUUGCGGGGAAACUGGACUGUUACUUUGAAAAAAUUAGAGGGUUUAAAGCAGGCUAACGCUUGAAUACAUUAGCAUGGAAUAAUGAAAUAGGACGUUCGAUCUUAUUUUGUUGGUUUCUAGGAUUGACGUAAUGAUUAAUAGGGAUAGUUGGGGGCAUUAGUAUUCAAUUGUCAGAGGUGAAAUUCUUGGAUUUAG